AUAUGGUAGUUCUUUCAGAUAGUCGAAUGACUUGGAAAAGUCAGUCAAAGAGGGUAAAAACCCCGUAGACGAAAUGUGGAAGACACCUAGGAGGAUCCUGAGUACGGCGGAACACGAGAAAUUCCGUCGGAAUCCGGGAGGACCAUCUCCCAAGGCUAAAUACUCCCUAGUGACCGAUAGUGAACCAGUACCGUGAGGGAAAGGUGAAAAGCACCCCGGAAGGGGAGUGAAAUAGAACCUGAAACCGUGUGCCUACAACAAGUCAAAGCCCGUUAAUGGGUGAUGGCGUGCCUUUUGUAGAAUGAACCGGCGAGUUACGAUUGCAUGCGAGGUUAAGUUGAAGAGACGGAGCCGCAGCGAAAGCGAGUCUGAAUAGGGCGUUUGAGUAUGUAGUCGUAGACCCGAAACCAUGUGAUCUACCCAUGUCCAGGUUGAAGGUGCGGUAAAACGCACUGGAGGACCGAACCCACGUACGUUGAAAAGUGCGGGGAUGAGGUGUGGGUAGCGGAGAAAUUCCAAACGAACUUGGAGAUAGCUGGUUCUCUCCGAAAUAGCUUUAGGGCUAGCCUCGGAAUUGAGAAUGAUGGAGGUAGAGCACUGUUUGGACUAGGGGCCCAUCUCGGGUUACCGAAUUCAGAUAAACUCCGAAUGCCAUUCAUUCAUAUCCGGGAGUCAGACUGUGAGUGAUAAGAUCCAUAGUCGAAAGGGAAACAGCCCAGACCACCAGCUAAGGUCCCAAAAUAUAUGUUAAGUGGAAAAGGAUGUGGGGUUGCACAGACAACUAGGAUGUUGGCUUAGAAGCAGCCAUCAUUUAAAGAGUGCGUAAUAGCUCACUAGUCGAGUGACCCUGCGCCGAAAAUGUACCGGGGCUAAACAUAUUACCGAAGCUGUGGAGUACACCUUUAGGUGUAUUGGUAGGAGAGCGUUCUAAGGGCGUUGAAGGCAGAUCGUGAGGACUGCUGGAGCGCUUAGAAGUGAGAAUGCCGGUAUGAGUAGCGAAAGACAGGUGAGAAUCCUGUCCACCGAAUGACUAAGGUUUCCUGGGGAAGGCUCGUCCGCCCAGGGUUAGUCGGGACCUAAGCCGAGGCCGACAGGCGUAGGCGAUGGAUAACAGGUUGAUAUUCCUGUACCCGUUGUUUUUGUUUGAGCAAUGGAGGGACGCAGGAGGCUAAGGAAUGCAGACGAUCGGAAAUGUCUGUCCAAGCAGUAAGUCUGAAGAGGAGUCAAAUGCUUCUUUUCUUAAGGACAAGCUGUGAUGGGGAGGGAAAUAAUAGUACCGAAGUUCCUGAUGUCACACUGCCGAGAAAAGCUUCUAGUGAGAAAACAGCGGCCCGUACCGCAAACCGACACAGGUAGUCGAGGAGAGAAUCCUAAGGUGAGCGAGAGAACUCUCGUUAAGGAACUCGGCAAAAUGACCCCGUAACUUCGGGAGAAGGGGUGCUGAUCAUACGAUCAGCCGCAGUGAAUAGGCCCAAGCGACUGUUUAUCAAAAACACAGGUCUCUGCAAAAUCGUAAGAUGAAGUAUAGGGGCUGACGCCUGCCCGGUGCUGGAAGGUUAAGAGGAGUGCUUAGCGCAAGCGAAGGUACGAAUUGAAGCCCCAGUAAACGGCGGCCGUAACUAUAACGGUCCUAAGGUAGCGAAAUUCCUUGUCGGGUAAGUUCCGACCCGCACGAAAGGCGUAACGAUUUGGGCACUGUCUCAACGAGAGACUCGGUGAAAUUUUAGUACCUGUGAAGAUGCAGGUUACCCGCGACAGGACGGAAAGACCCCAUGGAGCUUUACUGUAGUUUGAUAUUGAGUGUCUGUACCGCAUGUACAGGAUAGGUAGGAGCCGUAGAAAUCGGAACGCUAGUUUCGAUGGAGGCGCUGGUGGGAUACUACCCCUGCGUUAUGGCCACUCUAACCCGCACCACUAAUCGUGGUGGGAGACAGUGUCAGAUGGGCAGUUUGACUGGGGCGGUCGCCUCCUAAAAGGUAACGGAGGCGCCCAAAGGUUCCCUCAGAAUGGUUGGAAAUCAUUCGAAGAGUGUAAAGGCAGAAGGGAGCUUGACUGCGAGACCAACAAGUCGAGCAGGGACGAAAGUCGGGCUUAGUGAUCCGGUGGUUCCGCAUGGAAGGGCCAUCGCUCAACGGAUAAAAGCUACCCUGGGGAUAACAGGCUUAUCUCCCCCAAGAGUCCACAUCGACGGGGAGGUUUGGCACCUCGAUGUCGGCUCGUCGCAUCCUGGGGCUGUAGUCGGUCCCAAGGGUUGGGCUGUUCGCCCAUUAAAGCGGCACGCGAGCUGGGUUCAGAACGUCGUGAGACAGUUCGGUCCCUAUCCGUCGCGGGCGUUGGAAAUUUGAGAGGAGCUGUCCUUAGUACGAGAGGACCGGGAUGGACUUACCGCUGGUGUACCAGUUGUUCUGCCAAGGGCAUUGCUGGGUAGCUAUGUAGGGAAGGGAUAAACGCUGAAAGCAUCUAAGUGUGAAGCCCACCUCAAGAUGAGAUUUCCCAUUUCUUUAAGAAAGUAAGAUCCCUGAGAGAUGAUCAGGUAGAUAGGUCAGGAGUGGAAGUACAGUGAUGUAUGGAGCGGACUGAUACUAAUCGAUCGAGGACUUAACCAA
This 2606-nucleotide ribosomal RNA is filed under the name Enterococcus faecium EnGen0161. RNAcentral describes it as "bacterial LSU rRNA". It matches the Rfam family "Bacterial large subunit ribosomal RNA", at positions 311 to 2925 of the family's 2925-position model. Lineage: Bacteria; Bacillati; Bacillota; Bacilli; Lactobacillales; Enterococcaceae. The record is from RNAcentral.